CUUCAGCAGCGGACCUGGGAAGUGAAACACAGUUUUAUGAAUGUUUCUGGCUCUCAGCACUACACAGCCAGAUUUUCAAGCAGACUGGAGAAGGGCAGAGACAUCUGGAGGAAUCUUCUGUCCCCUUGUGGGUCUGAGCAACACUUUCACACCACUUCUUCACUAUGUCCUGAUGCUGUAUUCAGUGUGCAAGGCACAGAAGGCAUACCUGAGUCACUCUCUGGCUUGAGCAGGAACCUGAAAGGACUGAGGCUACAGAAGGUGCUAAAAUCACACGCUAUUUCAUGAUUUCCAAGACACAUAGUUUGUAAGAUUCUUAAUUAUUUACUGAGCCAUAAAAUGCAACCCAACACAUAUAACCACCUGAACACAUAUGAUCAUGCCUGCCUCCUUUAGUGGCAGGCAUAUCUAACUAGAUAGGAAAAUGCUUACUGUGAAGAAAAGGAGAGACAAAGAACCUAAAAGAUGGCUGAUAAGUUGUUCGAAGGUUUCAGAAGUCCAUCAAACUUCAUCUCACAUGUUACUGCUGAGAGAAAUUACAAAUAUAAUAUAUACAUUUUCAGCUUCUUUUUCAAAUUAAAAGUUAUAUCAUGAGAAUUUAGGUUGCAUUUGCUUUAUACCUGUAAUGGAAAGUCUUUUGGUCAAUAUAUGACACAUGAAAAAAAUGGUUUGUUCCAACACAAUGCUCUGCCUGCUUACAUGAUUGGCUUACACAGCUGUAUGGUACCUAGACAUUUAAUUGAUGCUGAUAAAGAUCAAGAUACCCUUUCAUAAGACUUCCCAAAGGGAAAGGCUGCAGCUGUUAAAUGUGUUUUGUUACAGAUGGGGAAUGGAGAGACAUCCAUGGCAGCUAAGGACUGCAGGUCUCUGAAUCCUGGACUAACACAUGAUCCUAUCUUCCCUCCCUUUUCAUCCCUAAUUCAGAUUGUUAAGCAUCCACUGUAACACAGAGUAGCCCAACAAAUGUGUUAAGAUUUUGAUCUGUGCAGUUCUGCUGUUCUACUCUCCUACAUUACUCAAAAAUCAGACUAAGCUUGAGUAAGAAGAUGCCAUAGAAAAGGCAUUUUUAAAGCAUGACCACUGACAUUGGAACUCAUUUUCUACAAUGGAUCCUGGAUUUAUGCAUUACAAACAAUAUGUUCUGCAUUCAGUGCUCCGGGACGACUGACCUACUCUCUAAAGGCGGAAGAUACAGUAAAGAGAAAUAAGAAGCUAUUCUUUCUCUCUCUCUCUGCGAUUGCACUGAAGAGCCUGCUCUGCCUACCUGCCUGAUAUUCCUGAGUCAUUAUCUGUGUCUUAAUAUCCAUCUCUGAGCACCUCACAUGCAUGUUAAAGGACAGAACUAAAAAGCUCCACUCUUAACAACAUCUCUUAGCAAAAACGAUCUAAAACAGUGCCCUGCCACAACUCUCUUACAGACUUGUGUUUUCUCUGUGGUGAGCAGCAGGAACACAUCACAUCAAGUUUCAAAGACCUGAUUACCUGUGGAGGAUGUUAAUCUCCUCUCAGCAGAGAGGGAAUGAUGCUAAUUUGCAAUGUUACCAAUUAUUUUGGAACAGGCAGUCAAUUAAUCCAGUCCCAACAGCUCAAAACUGAUCCCUUGUGCACUGAUCCUUUAACCCCAGUCUAGCAAUGGCACUUCUGCUGUCUCCAUCUGCUGAGGAGUCCUUUCCACAGCCUUGGGGAAGAGCUCAGCUGGGACAAAUGCUGAAAGCAGGUGGGCAGCAGAAGGAUUGGGAUGAGCUCAGGAGCAUCUUCUCCCUCUAGCUCUUCUUUAGCCAUGGGGCAGAUGUGUGAGCCACAGCUACUUCUCUCCAUAGUGACCAGAGCAGCAGUUACUACUGCUUUCCUUUACUUUUACGCUGGGACUCACCUUAUUGAUCCUCUCUACUUUACCGCUACAAGCUGUCAGUAAGGACUACAAGGAGAAUGUGAAAAUGAGCAAUUCCAAAGAUACAAGAACAUCUCUGUGCAGCUCCUCAACACAUUACAGAAAAUACUUAGGGAUCAAAAAGCCCCCCACUUUUCAUAUUAACUACUGGUAUAAACCUAACUAUGCUUCUAUUCUCUUUCUUUUUUAGCUAUGAUGUCCUCCUAAUGUGUCUGUGACAUGCAAAAACUCUCCACCUAGUUUUGACAGACCUGAACUUGAAAUGAUGACCAAAUGUGAUGUAGACUGUCAGAGGUGAUCCUAUCCAAAAGUUUCUGGCUAAGGAAGAAGGAAACCCAUAUGGGCAAAAGGGAAAAGGAUGGGCUGCCCCACCAGAAGUGUGAGGACAGAGGUGCACUGGGACCUCCAGAGGCAGAAAAACAGGUGCUGCAUGCCAUAUUGAAGCAAACCCCCAAAGGCCUUCUCCUCUCCCUCCUCCUUCUGAGAGACAACCACUGAGCAGUGGCAUUUUCCUGAAAACAAUACCUGUUUUCUUCAGGCUGCAUGAUCCAUUUGCACAUAAGAACUAAGAACAUUAUCAUCUGGAGGGAGGACACAAGAAACUGUGUCAUUCCAAGGAAGCUAAAACAUUAGAAGAGGUAGAAGACACUUAAUGGAGGACAGGGCCAUGGCAAUUUGCCCCGGCAGUCCCACAGUUCUUAGUGUUGCAACAGCCUCCAGAAAUGCUCUACAGAGAGGUCACACAGAGCACUGUGUCAAGCCCUGAGGGAAGCACUAGCUGACUGACUAUUGGGCAUUUUGACUUCAGCCAACAAGCCACAUUUGGGGAUAUACAAUUUUUGGUGCUAUGAUACAAGUACCACAUGCAAACCAAGGAAUCUAAUAGCUGCAGAACUCCUGACUGUGGGAAUGGCACAAAUUACUCAGGAGCUUCAUUUUGCAUGUAAAUGGCAAUUAGGCUCUUAAAUCAAUUGAAUAAGAAAAUUUCACAGUGUAAUGCUGAGGACCAUGGAUUUUUUGGGCUCAUCUGUGGCUCACUUCACAAGGUGUCCCUUGCUACUCUACACAGAAGAGCCUGGGACUUCACAUUCCAGUGGUGAACCCAUGCUGGCUCUAUACCAUCUAUUUCUAUGGAAUUAAUCCUGUUUUACCACAUCACAGAAAGGAGAUUCUGGCUCACUGAGAUGAAUGUGUGAAAAUUGGCAACCCUGAGAAGAUGUCACCAUGCCUUGCCACCUGCAUCUCCUACGCCUGAGAGACAUGCCCCGAAGGGGAACACCUGCCAAAGAUCUUUCACCUUGCCUUAUGUACUGUAGUAAAAAUCCUCAGUGUAUUUAUAUUGCCAAAUUAACAGAAAUACUUAUCAAAAAUGAUCUUGGCAGUGUCUAAUAACAAGCUUUUUAAAGGCCUAUAUUUUUCCAUAGCUGCAGCUCUUCAAAAAAUUAAUGCUUUGUUUUGACUUGACUAAGGGUUGGGGUGGGUGGGUGGUCUGAAAUCCAUAUGGGCCUCUUUAAUUACCUUAGUCACACCAGCAGUUACAAGUUACCACAGCAUUCUCUGUUUUUUCCUGUUAGUAAUGAGAGAACCUUCAAUUCAAAUAUAUAUAUAUAUAUAUAUUUUCAGUUUAAUUAGUUACAAACCACUUCUAUGCCAUGUUUCUCUUUCUAGAGAUCCUCAGCUUAUGAGCUGUUUCCUGCCUGGUGACUGGUUUCUCUGACUAAGUUAAUAACAAUUUUUUAGAAAUAAUGAACUCAGCAUGUUAUGUUUAGUUAUUCUCUCACUGACUUUAAAUAAUACUUAUUUAUUCC
Molecule: long non-coding RNA, 3699 nt
Organism: Oxyura jamaicensis (ruddy duck)
Lineage: Eukaryota; Metazoa; Chordata; Aves; Anseriformes; Anatidae
Exons: 3
Source: RefSeq, a predicted model, not a curated record